This 406-nucleotide ribosomal RNA is filed under the name Lactococcus lactis. RNAcentral's name for it is "bacterial SSU rRNA". It matches the Rfam family "Bacterial small subunit ribosomal RNA", at positions 28 to 421 of the family's 1533-position model. Lineage: Bacteria; Bacillati; Bacillota; Bacilli; Lactobacillales; Streptococcaceae. The record is from RNAcentral.
GACGAACGCUGGCGGCGUGCCUAAUACAUGCAAGUUGAGCGCUGAAGGUUGGUACUUGUACCAACUGGAUGAGCAGCGAACGGGUGAGUAACGCGUGGGGAAUCUGCCUUUGAGCGGGGGACAACAUUUGGAAACGAAUGCUAAUACCGCAUAAAAACUUUAAACACAAGUUUUAAGUUUGAAAGAUGCAAUUGCAUCACUCAAAGAUGAUCCCGCGUUGUAUUAGCUAGUUGGUGAGGUAAAGGCUCACCAAGGCGAUGAUACAUAGCCGACCUGAGAGGGUGAUCGGCCACAUUGGGACUGAGACACGGCCCAAACUCCUACGGGAGGCAGCAGUAGGGAAUCUUCGGCAAUGGACGAAAGUCUGACCGAGCAAACGCCGCGUGAGUGAAAGAAAGGUUUUCGG